Molecule: long non-coding RNA, 561 nt
Filed under: Pan troglodytes (chimpanzee)
Lineage: Eukaryota; Metazoa; Chordata; Mammalia; Primates; Hominidae
Description: lincRNA
Source: RNAcentral
UUCCAUCCAGGAUAGUCCUGGAAAUGAUCUUGAUGCUAUCUGUUCCUCGUUACAGCAGACCUGCUCAACUUCAGCAGCUAGAAGGAGGAUUGUCUUUCACCAGCUGCAGGAGCCUGUUCCCACUACAAGCCUGGUGGAGUCUUCGGAGCAGAUGUGACUGUCCUACUUGUAUAGAGAAGAGAAACUGAGGCUCAGAAGAGACGCCUGGCUGAGUUUAACAGGACCGCAACAACAAUUUUGCCUUUGUACUUUCUGGUACAGUGGUCUUUCCUUUGCCAUCAUGCCUCAGCAUAUCCAUACCGUUUGCAAAGAAUUUUCCUAAACAUCGCCACUGAGGCUCCUUCCAGCAAUGACUCUGGUCCAUCAUUGGGAUUGCUGAGCAGCUGUUUCAUAACAUGAACAAGGAUGUUUUAACCAUGUUUCUUGACCUGGCCAUUUGGAUCCCAAGGAUGUUUUGGUCCAAGAAUAAAUUCCAGAGCUUAGCUCACCUAAGAAGACAGGAAAACUUGUCAGAUGGGGAAGGAUGUGUCAAGAGCAUGCACACAGAUUUACUCUUCAGCU